This 132-nucleotide small RNA is filed under the name Klebsiella pneumoniae. Its description in RNAcentral is "RtT sRNA". It matches the Rfam family "RtT RNA". From Rfam's summary of the family: This family represents a bacterial cis-regulatory element known as RtT RNA. Lineage: Bacteria; Pseudomonadati; Pseudomonadota; Gammaproteobacteria; Enterobacterales; Enterobacteriaceae. The record is from RNAcentral.
UAUUCUGCCCCAUAGGGAAGGAUGAGAAGCUUCGACUAAGGUUCGACUCGAGCGAAGCGAGAGAACGUUGCCGCAGGCAACGGCCCGAAGGGCGAGGCGCUUUAGCGCCGAGUAAUCCUUCCCCCACCAUCA